CCUACGGGAGGCAGCAGUGAGGAAUAUUGGUCCAUGGACGAGAGUCUGAACCAGCCAAGUAGCGUGAAGGAUGACUGCCCUAUGGGUUGUAAACUUCUUUUAUAUGGGAAUAAAAUGUUCCACGUGUGCGUUUUUGUAUGUACCUUAUGAAUAAGGAUCGGCUAACUCCGUGCCAGCAGCCGCGGUAAUACGGAGGAUCCGAGCGUUAUCCGGAUUUAUUGGGUUUAAAGGGAGCGUAGGUGGAUUGUUAAGUCAGUUGUGAAAGUUUGCGGCUCAACCGUAAAAUUGCAGUUGAUACUGGCAGUCUUGAGUACAGUAGAGGUAGGCGGAAUUCGUGGUGUAGCGGUGAAAUGCUUAGAUAGCACGAAGAACUCCGAUUGCGAAGGCAGCUCACUGAACUGCAACUGACACUGAGGCUCGAAAGUGUGGGUAUCAAACAGGAUUAGAUACCCUAGUAGUC
RNAcentral lists this ribosomal RNA (460 nucleotides) under uncultured bacterium. Its description in RNAcentral is "partial 16S ribosomal RNA". It matches the Rfam family "Bacterial small subunit ribosomal RNA", at positions 338 to 795 of the family's 1533-position model. The record is from RNAcentral.